UACGUAGGGGGCAAGCGUUGUCCGGAAUCAUUGGGCGUAAAGAGCGUGUAGGCGGCCCGGUAAGUCCGUUGUGAAAGUCAAGGGCUCAACCCUUGAAUGCCGGCGGAUACUGUCGGGCUAGAGUCCGGAAGAGGCGAGUGGAAUUCCUGGUGUAGCGGUGAAAUGCGCAGAUAUCAGGAGGAACACCGAUGGCGAAGGCAGCUCGCUGGGACGGAACUGACGCUGAGACGCGAAAGCGUGGGGAGCAAACAGG
Molecule: ribosomal RNA, 253 nt
Filed under: uncultured bacterium
Lineage: Bacteria
Description: partial 16S ribosomal RNA
Rfam family: Bacterial small subunit ribosomal RNA
Source: RNAcentral